Molecule: unclassified non-coding RNA, 373 nt
Filed under: uncultured fungus
Lineage: Eukaryota; Fungi
Description: sequence contains ITS1
Rfam family: 5.8S ribosomal RNA (bases 1-107)
Source: RNAcentral
AAAAUGCGAUACUUGGUGUGAAUUGCAGAAUCCCGUGAACCAUCAAGUUUUUGAACGCAAGUUGCGCCUGAAGCCAUUCGGCCGAGGGCACGUCUGCCAGGGCGUCAAGCAUCGCGUCGCCUCCGACCACGCCUCUCCCAUGGGGACGCGUUUGGUCGGGGGCGGAGACUAGUCUCCCGUGCCCAUGGUGCGGUUAGCCUAAAAAGGAGUCCUCUCCGACGGACGCACGGCUAGUGGUGGUAGUCAAGGCCUUCGUAUCGAGCCGUGCGUCGUGAGCCGCGAGGGAAGCGCUCUCCAAAGACCCCAACGCGUCGUCUUGCGACGAUGCUUCGACCGCGACCCCAGGUCAGGCGGGACUACCCGCUGAGUUUAA